This 1245-nucleotide ribosomal RNA is filed under the name metagenome. RNAcentral describes it as "bacterial LSU rRNA". It matches the Rfam family "Bacterial large subunit ribosomal RNA", at positions 1564 to 2818 of the family's 2925-position model. The record is from RNAcentral.
UGAGUACGAGAUGCUACGGCGUCGAAGCAGUCUAGGUCAUACUUCCAAGAAAAGCUUGCACUGUCAUAAACAAAGAAUGCCUGUACCAUAACCGACACAGGUGGGUAGGUAGAGUAUACUAAGGGGCGCGAGAUAACUCUCUCUAAGGAACUCGGCAAAAUGACUCCGUAACUUCGGGAGAAGGAGUGCCUUAUUUUUAAGGUUGCAAUAACAAGAUCCAAGCAACUGUUUACCAAAAACACAGGUCUCCGCUAAGUCGUAAGACGAUGUAUGGGGGCUGACGCCUGCCCAGUGCCAGAAGGUUAAAGAAGUUGGUUAGCAUUUGCGAAGCUGAUAACUGAAGCCCUGGUGAACGGCGGCCGUAACUAUAACGGUCCUAAGGUAGCGAAAUUCCUUGUCGGGUAAGUUCCGACCCGCACGAAAGGCGUAAUGAUUUGGAUACUGUCUCGGAGAGGGGCUCGGUGAAAUAGACUUGUCUGUGAAGAUGCGGACUACCUGCACCUGGACAGAAAGACCCUAUGAAGCUUUACUGUAACUUGAGAUUGAAAUUGGACUUUAUUUGCGCAGUAUAGGUGGGAGGCGUUGAGAAUAAUCUUGCGGGAUUAUCGGAGCCAUCAGUGAGAUACCACUCUUGUAAUGUUAGAUUUCUAACUUUGUAUCAUUAUCUGGUCAAAGAACAGUUUCAGGCGGGCAGUUUGACUGGGGCGGUCGCCUCCCAAAGGGUAACGGAGGCGCACAAAGGUUUCCUCUGAACGGGUAGAAAUCGUAUCUAGAGUGUAAAGGCAUAAGGAAGCUUGACUGUGAGACCUACAAGUCGAGCAGGGACGAAAGUCGGUCUUAGUGAUCUGACGGUGCUGAGUGGAAAGGCCGUCACUCAACGGAUAAAAGUUACUCUAAGGAUAACAGGCUGAUCUCCCCCAAGAGUUCACAUCGACGGGGAGGUUUGGCACCUCGAUGUCGGCUCAUCGCAUCCUGGGGCGGUAGUACGUCCCAAGGGUUGGGCUGUUCGCCCAUGAAAGCGGUACGCGAGCUGGGUUCAGAACGUCGUGAGACAGUUCGGUCCAUAUCCGGUGUAGGCGUUAGAAUAUUGAAAGGAGCCUUCUCUAGUACGAGAGGACCGAGAAGGACAUACCUCUGGUGUGCCAGUUAUCGUGCCAACGGUAAACGCUGGGUAGCUAUGUAUGGAGUGGAUAACCGCUGAAAGCAUCUAAGUGGGAAGCCCACCUUAAGAUAAGUAUUCUCAUC